GGUGCGGCGUACCUAAUACAUGCAGUCGAGCGAAUGGAUUAAGAGCUUGCUCUUAUGAAGUUAGCGGCGGACGGGUGAGUAACACGUGGGUAACCUGCCCAUAAGACUGGGAUAACUCCGGGAAACCGGGGCUAAUACCGGAUAACAUUUUGAACCGCAUGGUUCGAAAUUGAAAGGCGGCUUCGGCUGUCACUUAUGGAUGGACCCGCGUCGCAUUAGCUAGUUGGUGAGGUAACGGCUCACCAAGGCAACGAUGCGUAGCCGACCUGAGAGGGUGAUCGGCCACACUGGGACUGAGACACGGCCCAGACUCCUACGGGAGGCAGCAGUAGGGAAUCUUCCGCAAUGGACGAAAGUCUGACGGAGCAACGCCGCGUGAGUGAUGAAGGCUUUCGGGUCGUAAAACUCUGUUGUUAGGGAAGAACAAGUGCUAGUUGAAUAAGCUGGCACCUUGACGGUACCUAACCAGAAAGCCACGGCUAACUACGUGCCAGCAGCCGCGGUAAUACGUAGGUGGCAAGCGUUAUCCGGAAUUAUUGGGCGUAAAGCGCGCGCAGGUGGUUUCUUAAGUCUGAUGUGAAAGCCCACGGCUCAACCGUGGAGGGUCAUUGGAAACUGGGAGACUUGAGUGCAGAAGAGGAAAGUGGAAUUCCAUGUGUAGCGGUGAAAUGCGUAGAGAUAUGGAGGAACACCAGUGGCGAAGGCGACUUUCUGGUCUGUAACUGACACUGAGGCGCGAAAGCGUGGGGAGCAAACAGGAUUAG
RNAcentral lists this ribosomal RNA (764 nucleotides) under Bacillus cereus. RNAcentral's name for it is "bacterial SSU rRNA". It matches the Rfam family "Bacterial small subunit ribosomal RNA", at positions 35 to 781 of the family's 1533-position model. Lineage: Bacteria; Bacillati; Bacillota; Bacilli; Caryophanales; Bacillaceae. The record is from RNAcentral.